Molecule: unclassified non-coding RNA, 383 nt
Filed under: Basidiomycota sp.
Lineage: Eukaryota; Fungi; Basidiomycota
Description: partial contains small subunit ribosomal RNA, internal transcribed spacer 1, and 5.8S ribosomal RNA
Rfam family: Eukaryotic small subunit ribosomal RNA (bases 1-47)
Source: RNAcentral
AAAGUCGUAACAAGGUUUCCGUAGGUGAACCUGCGGAAGGAUCAUUAACACAUCGUCUCUAUGGGUCCUCUUCUUCGGAGGAGGCUCAUGGAAACAUAACCAAACCGCGCUCUUGUUGUACACCUCUCUCUCAUUGGAUUGGAUGACUCUUGGAUGGAGUAGCUGCUGUUCGCUUCUAACCAGGCGAUUCAGCAGAUCCUUGGGUUGCUCUACACGUCCUUUCCUUUGAGACUUAUCGAGACUACUCUGGUCCUUCACUGGACUAACACAUUUAACCCCUUUCACCCUUCUAGUAUACAAUUGUCUUAUUUCCAUUGUGCACGAAAGUGGCAAUGCAGGAUAUACAACGCGAACAACUCUUAGCAAUGGAUAUCUUGGCUCUG